AUGCCUACACAAGUAUUCCCACAUCCUGCAUGUUUCGCCAUGGCCGUGUUACUGUGCUCUGCACCUAUGCCUUGCUUCAUGGCGGGAUCGUGCCAGAAGCGGGACGACAUCAUCUCCUACAGCUUCCCUUUCUUCCCCCAUGAUAGCAUGCAGAACUUGGCGAUUUUCGGGGACGCGAGUGUGAUAGUGGCAAACCUCGUGCUCACUGUCGACAGAGACGGGAUGAAGGGUGGAGCCGGUUCUGCCCUCCUCCUAUCACCCAUCAAGCUCUGGGGCGUCGACUCCGACGAUGUGAAGCACGAGGCGUCCUUCAACACCUCCUUCACCAUGAAUAUCUACAGGCGGCUGGGACAAGGCGGCGGCCUUGCGUUCGUCAUCGUCCCCUCCCUCCACGGCCCUCCGCCUGGCAGCGAGGGUGGUUUCCUCGGUCUCACCAAUACCACCUCAAAGUCCACCACUGCCUCGGGCAGCAGUUUCGUCGCCGUCGAGUUAGACACCUGGAAGGACGACUUCGAUCCCGAUGACAACCACAUCGGGCUCAACAUCGGCAGCGUCGUCUCCGACGUAGUCGUCUCGCUCUCCUCACUCCCGGUGCCCGACAACAUCACCCUCGCACCGCUGAUGGAGUCGGUGGAUUACACCGUGUGGAUCGAUUACAACGGAGUCGGGCACCACAUAUGGGUGUACAUGGCCGUCGAUGGACUGCCCAAGCCUAACAAGGCCUACCUUGAUGCGCACCUCAACAUGAGCAGCAACAUCCCGCAGCAAGCGUUCAUUGGUUUCACGGCAUCGACGGGGGAAGGCCACCACCUACAUCGUAUCCUGAGCUGGAACUUGACAGUCGAAAAGCUUCCCGAUCACCGAGCCGUCCGACAACGGAAGAUGGUACUGUCCGCUGUUCUUGGGUCAGCGGCCGCCACCGUCGUCAUAAUAUCUGUCGCGGUCUUCUACUUCUACUUGAGGUACAAGGCCCUGAAGAUGGAGCUGAAGCUGUCAGAUGCUCUUCCGCGGCUUCCGGGAACGCCCAAGGAGUUCAAGUACGCCAUGAUCAGGAAAGCCACAAACAACUACGACGAGGCAAGGAAGCUAGGCAAAGGCGGGUUCGGCGCAGUGUACAGGGGAACGCUCCGCCUCCGGUCAGACAAGACGUGCCAGCUGGUGGACGUUGCUGUGAAAAAGGUCACACGUAAUCGAGACCGCGGCUACGAUGACUUCCUCGCCGAGGUCGACGUCAUCAACCGGCUGCGCCACCGAAAUGUCGUGCCGCUUGUUGGUUGGUGUUAUGAGAAAGGGGAGCUCCUGCUUAUAUACGAGUAUAUGCCCAAUGGUAGCCUGGACCAGUACCUCUUUGAGGAAAACCCUCGGCUCCAGCGGCCCAUCUUAGGAUGGAAUACCCGGUACGACAUCAUCAUGGAUGUAGCCGUAGGGCUCCACUACGUGCAUCACGAGCACGAACACAUGGUGAUCCACCGCGACAUAAAAGCGAGCAACAUCAUGCUUGACUCUUCCUUUCAUGGCCGCCUCGGUGACUUUGGCCUUGCACGCAUCGUCAGUUUGAACAAGAACUCCUACACAGAUGUGGGUGUCGCUGGCACCUGGGGCUUCAUCGCGCCGGAGUACUCAGUCUGCCACAAGGCCACUCGCAAGACUGACGUCUAUGCCUUUGGGGUGCUAGUCCUCGAGAUUAUCACCGGGGAACGGGCACUUGCUGGGAACCAUGACCAUGAGACGCUUCAACCGCUCACUGACUGGGUCUGGUGGGUUCACCGGGAGGGAAGGUUGCUCCAUGCAGUGGACGACAAAGUCACUUCCACGCAAGAGUUUGAUCGCAAUGAUGCUACUCGCUUGUUGCUUCUUGGACUGGCAUGUAGCAACCCAAACCCAUCUGACCGACCAAGCAUGGCCGAGAUAGUGCAAGUGAUAGCCAAAUCGGUGCCGCCACCAGACGUACCGCUUGUGAAACCUACAUUCGUCUGGCCACCUGAAGGCGGGAUCCCCAUGGAAUUUGACGACAUGAUGGCAACGAGCAACCUCGACUGGGAGGACAUGUCUAGCAAUGAAGCCCUUGGGGCUAGCGUACCAUCAGAGGUGAAUAGGCGCAACGCUCGGGUUGGGCAUUCAAACACAGCUGGAUCAGCUGAGGAGUAUUAUGUGUAG
Molecule: ribosomal RNA, 2157 nt
Filed under: Triticum aestivum (bread wheat)
Lineage: Eukaryota; Viridiplantae; Streptophyta; Magnoliopsida; Poales; Poaceae
Description: partial small subunit ribosomal RNA
Source: RNAcentral